UCUUCCUUUCUGUGCGAGGGCUUUCUCUAGUUGUGGCAAGUGGGGGGCCACUCUUCAUCGCGGUGCACAGGCCUCUCACUGUCGCGGCCUCUCUUGUCGCGGAGCACAAGCUCCAGACGUGCAGGCUCAGUAGGUGUGGCUCACGGGCCUAGUUGCUCCGCGGCAUGUGGGAUCCUCCCAGACCAGGGCUUGAACCCGUGUCCGCUGCAUUGGCAGGCAGAUUCUCAACCACUGCACCACCAGGGAAGCCCUAAGAUUUAAUGUUUUAUUUAUUUUGGCUGCGUUGGGUUUUUGUUGCUGCGCACAGACUUUCUCUAGUUGUGGCGAGAAGGGACUACUCUUUUUUGCGGUGCUCAGGCUUCUCGUUGCAGGGGCUUCUCUUUGUUGUGGAGCACGGACUCUAGGAGCGUGGGCUUCAGUAGUUGUGGCAUGUGGGCUCAGUAGUUUUGGCGUACAGGCUUAGUUACUCCACAGCAUGUGGGAUCUUCCCGGACCAGGGAUAGAACCCAUGUCCCCUGCGUUGGCAGGCGGAUUCUUAUCCACUGUGCCACCAGGGAAGUCUGUCUUUCUGUUGUUGUGGGGGUUUUUGGUCGUGUUGGGUCUUAGUUGCAGCAGGCAGGCUCCUUAGUUGUGCCAUGCAUGUGGGAUCUAGUUCCCGGGCCAGGGAUCAAGCCUGGGCCCCCUUCAUUGGGAGUGUGGAGUCUUAACCAUUGCACCACCAGGGAAGUCCCUGUCCUUCCGUGUUCUUGACUAUUUAAUCUGACUUUAUUGCUAAACACGGGUCUUCACAAGCAGAGGAAAUGUGUCUGGUGUUCAAAGGUGUUUUUAUAAGCACCCAGCCCAAACCAGGGAGUGUAGGAGGUACUUAAAUAAAUGCUGGUUGGCAAAGCGCUGUCAUCCACAGAUCAGUCAACAGCCCAGUCAUUCCUUGUUCCCUGAGCCAUUCAGCCACAGGGCGUGAUAGGAAGAACUUGACUUCACAAGUCAGACAAACCCAGGUUUCACCAACCCUAGGUGCCCUCCUCGUGAUCUCAGGAACGAGGCAGCUUCCAUUCCUUACGCAUCUACCAUGUGAUGUGUCGGAUGCUCUGCAAACCACCUGUCUACGCGUCUCAUGGGACCAAGCGAGGACUGUCUUCCCCAUUUUACAGAUGAAAAAAGGGAAGUUUAAAAGAAGUUAGAACCCUCGUGCAAAAUCAACGGCUCAGGAGGCAGAAGGGUCAGAAUUCGAAUGCUGAGGAUUGCCCAUAGUCUAACCAUUGUACAAACCCACAAUCUGAGAAGGACGUUUCCCUGGGACACUGUCACAUAUGCUCAGAAUCUCUUUUGGUUAAAAAUGAACUCGGAA
Long non-coding RNA from Orcinus orca (killer whale), 1348 nucleotides. RefSeq lists it as uncharacterized. Lineage: Eukaryota; Metazoa; Chordata; Mammalia; Artiodactyla; Delphinidae. The record is from RefSeq and is a predicted model, not a curated record. The transcript has 2 exons.